AAUAUAUAUCCAGAUCAAAUUCCUCCCUGGCUGGUGGAAUGGAUGCCUAGUGAAGGGGGUUAUCUUAUCGGAAACCUGCAGCCAGCUCACAUGGAUUUUCGGUUCUUUUCACUUGGGAACGUUUGGUCCAUUGUAAGCAGUCUUGCUAACAUAGAUCAGUCACAUGCCAUUUUAGAUCUUAUUGAAGCCAAAUGGGAGGAUUUAGUAGCUGAUAUGCCACUGAAGAUAUGUUAU
Molecule: unclassified non-coding RNA, 234 nt
Filed under: Hevea brasiliensis (rubber tree)
Lineage: Eukaryota; Viridiplantae; Streptophyta; Magnoliopsida; Malpighiales; Euphorbiaceae
Source: RNAcentral